UAAAGAGUAGUGCAGGAGGUAGAGCGAAGAGUUUUGAUCUCUUAGGCGUAGGUUCAAUUCCUAUCUCUUUAA
Molecule: transfer RNA, 72 nt
Filed under: Minervarya manoharani
Lineage: Eukaryota; Metazoa; Chordata; Amphibia; Anura; Dicroglossidae
Description: tRNA-Gln
Rfam family: tRNA
About the family: Transfer RNA (tRNA) molecules are approximately 80 nucleotides in length. Their secondary structure includes four short double-helical elements and three loops (D, anti-codon, and T loops).
Source: RNAcentral